Long non-coding RNA from Vespula vulgaris, 998 nucleotides. RefSeq lists it as uncharacterized. NCBI's taxonomy places the organism in Eukaryota, Metazoa, Arthropoda, Insecta, Hymenoptera, Vespidae. The record is from RefSeq and is a predicted model, not a curated record. The transcript has 3 exons.
GAUAAAAGAAGAAGAAGUGAAGAAAAAGAAGAAGAAGAAGAUGAAAAAGAAAUAAGAGAAAAUAAGGGGUAAACAAAAGAGAGAAGGUUAGAGAAAGAUCUUGGCACGAACGGUAGGGAUCAGAGGGAAAUGAGAAAAAAGAAUUUUACGAAUGUGUACCGUGCGAUGCAAUGAAGUCUCCAUCGGUAUUCGAGGGUGAGUAAAAGAGGGUGAGACCCUACGAGAAAGAUCUGCGUCUCCAACGGUGCAGUUUAUGUGGACACUGAUUUGAAGCGAACGCUAGAAAAUUUGACAUUCCCGCCAGCUUUUCGGGCCACUGUUGGAUUACGGUAGCGCACACUUACGUAAAGGCCGUCCCCAAGGAAUGGGACUAUCCCUCUGUCAUGGUACUUCGUAGAAAAGAAGAAAGAGUCGGGCGAGUCCUGGAAUAUGUAAGCGAAGCUCUACGAAGAAGUCGCAGUGAAUUUUUAGACGCAGUUGAGUUUGUCUACGAGAUUUUAUUCCUCUCUUUCUACCUUUUUCUCUGCUUCUAUCCAGGGAAAAUGAUUUUCAAAAUUGCAAUGCGUCCAUUGAGGAUUACGUGCCCGUGCUUUAAAGUAAAGUAUUUUUCGCAAGAUUAUCGCGAAAUGGAUCAAUGAUUCGACCCAGAUAUAAAUCUGUGUAACACGUUAAUAAAGAUACAAGGAACGAGAGAAAUGAUUAAAGAUCGAGACGAAAGGAGAGUGAGGCCACCAUCGACGAGCAUGUUUACAAGUGGUUCUCAGCAAUUCACCUCAACGAGCAAAGAAGGAAAGAGAAAAGAAGUAUAAAAGCAAGUGAAGCGAAUUUCUAUACUGUUAUCGAAUCUUUGGAAAGAGAGUCAUAUUUAAAAAUAAUGGCUUCUUCUUUGCAGUGUUUUUAGUCCAGCAUCCAACUUACCGAUCGAAAGAACGAAGAAUGAUUCGUUUUGCAAGAACGAACAAUAGGAACAUAUAACUUGGAUAAGAACAUAUAUUCAU